RNAcentral lists this ribosomal RNA (460 nucleotides) under uncultured bacterium. RNAcentral describes it as "partial 16S ribosomal RNA". It matches the Rfam family "Bacterial small subunit ribosomal RNA", at positions 338 to 795 of the family's 1533-position model. The record is from RNAcentral.
CCUACGGGAGGCAGCAGUGAGGAAUAUUGGUCAAUGGGCGUAAGCCUGAACCAGCCAAGUCGCGUGAGGGAUGAAGGUUCUAUGGAUCGUAAACCUCUUUUAUAAGGGAAUAGAGGGUGGGACGUGUCCUAUUUUGUAUGUACCUUAUGAAUAAGGAUCGGCUAACGCCGUGCCAGCAGCCGCGGUAAUACGGAGGAUCCGAGCGUUAUCCGGAUUUAUUGGGUUUAAAGGGUGCGUAGGCGGCCGUUUAAGUCAGCGGUGAAAGUCUGUGGCUCAACCAUAGAAUUGCCGUUGAAACUGGGGGGCUUGAGUAUGUUUGAGGCAGGCGGAAUGCGUGGUGUAGCGGUGAAAUGCUUAGAUAUCACGCAGAACCCCGAUUGCGAAGGCAGCCUGCCAGGCCAUGACUGACGCUGAUGCACGAAAGCGUGGGGAUCAAACAGGAUUAGAUACCCUUGUAGUC